This 464-nucleotide ribosomal RNA is filed under the name uncultured bacterium. RNAcentral's name for it is "bacterial SSU rRNA". It matches the Rfam family "Bacterial small subunit ribosomal RNA", at positions 331 to 792 of the family's 1533-position model. The record is from RNAcentral.
CCAGACUCCUACGGGAGGCAGCAGUGAGGAAUAUUGGUCAAUGGCCGAGAGGCUGAACCAGCCAAGUCGCGUGAGGGAAGAAUGUCCUAAGGAUUGUAAACCUCUUUUGUCGGGGAGCAAAAAGGCUCUGCGGAGUCGUAUUGAGAGUACCCGAAGAAAAAGCAUCGGCUAACUCCGUGCCGGCAGCCGCGGUAAUACGGAGGAUGCGAGCGUUAUCCGGAUUUAUUGGGUUUAAAGGGAGCGUAGGCCGGUCUUUAAGCGUGCCGUGAAAUUUUGUGGCUCAACCAUGAGAGUGCGGCGCGAACUGGAGACCUUGAGUGCGCGGAAGGCAGGCGGAAUUCGUGGUGUAGCGGUGAAAUGCUUAGAUAUCACGAAGAACCCCGAUUGCGAAGGCAGCCUGCCGCAGCGUUACUGACGCUGAAGCUCGAAAGCGCGGGUAUCGAACAGGAUUAGAUACCCUAGUA